This 874-nucleotide ribosomal RNA is filed under the name bacterium enrichment culture clone PCP60. Its description in RNAcentral is "bacterial SSU rRNA". It matches the Rfam family "Bacterial small subunit ribosomal RNA", at positions 9 to 872 of the family's 1533-position model. The record is from RNAcentral.
GAGUUUGAUCCUGGCUCAGGACGAACGCUGGCGGCGUGCCUAAGACAUGCAAGUCGAGCGGAUCACCUUUCGGGGUGGUUAGCGGCGGACGGGUGAGUAACACGUGGAUAACCUGCCUGACGAUCUGGGAUAACAGACCGAAAGGUCUGCUAAUACCGGAUAAGCUCACGGAAGCGCAUGCUUCUGGGAGAAAAGGCGCUGCAAGGCGCUGUGGUCAGAGGGGUCCGCGGCCCAUUAGCUAGUUGGAGGGGUAACGGCCCACCAAGGCGACGAUGGGUAGCCGGCCUGAGAGGGCGACCGGCCACACUGGGACUGAGACACGGCCCAGACUCCUACGGGAGGCAGCAGUCGGGAAUUUUGCACAAUGGCCGAAAGGCUGAUGCAGCAACGCCGCGUGAGUGAAGAAGGCCUUCGGGUUGUAAAGCUCUGUUGCCCGUGACGAAGUGCGCUUUCAGGAAAUGGGAGGCGUUUGACGGUAGCGGGAGAGGAAGCCCCGGCUAACUACGUGCCAGCAGCCGCGGUAAUACGUAGGGGGCGAGCGUUGUCCGGAUUUAUUGGGCGUAAAGGGCGUGUAGGCGGUCUGUUAAGUCGGGGGUGAAAACCCGGGGCUCAACCCCGGGCCUGCCUCCGAAACUGAUGGACUUGAGUACUCUAGAGGGCAGUGGAAUUCCCGGUGUAGCAGUGAAAUGCGUAGAGAUCGGGAGGAACACCAGUGGCGAAGGCGACUGCCUGGGGAGAAACUGACGCUGAGGCGCGAAAGCUGGGGGAGCAAACGGGAUUAGAUACCCCGGUAGUCCCAGCCGUAAACGAUGAGUGCUAGGUGUAGCGGGUAUCGACCCCUGCUGUGCCGCAGUAAACGCAAUAAGCACUCCGC